UACGGAGGGUGCGAGCGUUGUCCGGAAUCACUGGGCGUAAAGGGCGCGUAGGCGGCCUGAUAAGUAGGGGGUGAAAUCCUGCGGCUUAACCGCAGGGCUGCCUUCUAAACUGUCAGGCUUGAGCACAGUAGAGGCAGGUGGAAUUCCCGGUGUAGCGGUGGAAUGCGUAGAGAUCGGGAGGAAGACCGGUGGCGAAGGCGGUCUGCUGGGCAGUUUCUGACACUGAGGCGCGACAGCGUGGGGAGCAAACAGG
Molecule: ribosomal RNA, 253 nt
Filed under: uncultured bacterium
Lineage: Bacteria
Description: partial 16S ribosomal RNA
Rfam family: Bacterial small subunit ribosomal RNA
Source: RNAcentral